Molecule: transfer RNA, 87 nt
Filed under: Nitrospira sp.
Lineage: Bacteria; Pseudomonadati; Nitrospirota; Nitrospiria; Nitrospirales; Nitrospiraceae
Also listed under: 9 other names
Description: tRNA-Leu
Rfam family: tRNA
About the family: Transfer RNA (tRNA) molecules are approximately 80 nucleotides in length. Their secondary structure includes four short double-helical elements and three loops (D, anti-codon, and T loops).
Source: RNAcentral
GCGCGAGUGGCGGAAUCGGCAGACGCACAGGACUUAAAAUCCUGGGUCAGCAAUGGCGUGCGGGUUCAAUUCCCGCCUCGCGCACCA